ACACCAUACUUUUACUCCCUCUCUUCCUUAUCUCUCUCGGCCAACCACACCCCCACACACUUACCCAUUUUUAUAAAGAUAAAUAUCAAGACUCAAGCUCCAAGAUCCAAGUUUUUUUGUGAUUCAAUCUUUGGUUUGAAGAUUUAAGCUCAAGAUCUCUUCUUUUCUAACUUUUCCUUCUCCUUGCUCGUUUUAAGUAAGUUUCAUCUUUCAAAUCUAUUUCUUAUGAGGUCACGACGAGGUUAUUUCAAGCUGUGGGAUUUGUUUAUCUUUGUUUGAUAUAUGGAGUAUUAUGCUUUGCCG
RNAcentral lists this long non-coding RNA (303 nucleotides) under Helianthus annuus (common sunflower). RNAcentral describes it as "sRNA HanXRQr2_Chr04g0160751". The record is from RNAcentral. Lineage: Eukaryota; Viridiplantae; Streptophyta; Magnoliopsida; Asterales; Asteraceae.